RNAcentral lists this ribosomal RNA (240 nucleotides) under uncultured Geobacteraceae bacterium. RNAcentral describes it as "partial 16S ribosomal RNA". It matches the Rfam family "Bacterial small subunit ribosomal RNA", at positions 1 to 232 of the family's 1533-position model. The record is from RNAcentral. Lineage: Bacteria; Pseudomonadati; Thermodesulfobacteriota; Desulfuromonadia; Geobacterales; Geobacteraceae.
CUUAGAGUUUGAUCCUGGCUCAGAACGAACGCUGGCGGCGUGCUUAACACAUGCAAGUCGAACGUGAUUGAGAGCUUGCUCUCAUGAAAGUGACGCACGGGUGAGUAACACGUGGAUAAUCUGCCUGGCGAUUCGGGAUAACACUUCGAAAGGGGUGCUAAUACCGGAUAAGCCCACGGUCUCUUCGGAGAGCGCGGGAAAAGGGGGCCUCUGUAUAUGCUCCUGUCGCUAGAUGAGUCC